CCCAAAGCGGAGGAAAAGAAACCAACCGGGAUUGCCUUAGUAACGGCGAGUGAAGCGGCAAAAGCUCAAAUUUGAAAUCUGGUACCUUCGGUGCCCGAGUUGUAAUUUGGAGAGGGCAACUUUGGGGCCGUUCCUUGUCUAUGUUCCUUGGAACAGGACGUCAUAGAGGGUGAGAAUCCCGUGUGGCGAGGAGUGCGGUUCUUUGUAAAGUGCCUUCGAAGAGUCGAGUUGUUUGGGAAUGCAGCUCUAAGUGGGUGGUAAAUUCCAUCUAAAGCUAAAUAUUGGCGAGAGACCGAUAGCGAACAAGUACAGUGAUGGAAAGAUGAAAAGAACUUUGAAAAGAGAGUGAAAAAGUACGUGAAAUUGUUGAAAGGGAAGGGCAUUUGAUCAGACAUGGUGUUUUGUGCCCUCUGCUCCUUGUGGGUAGGGGAAUCUCGCAUUUCACUGGGCCAGCAUCAGUUUUGGUGGCAGGAUAAAUCCAUAGGAAUGUAGCUUGCCUCGGUAAGUAUUAUAGCCUGUGGGAAUACUGCCAGCUGGGACUGAGGACUGCGACGUAAGUCAAGGAUGCUGGCAUAAUGGUUAUAUGCCGCCCGUCUUG
This 598-nucleotide ribosomal RNA is filed under the name Saccharomyces cerevisiae (brewer's yeast). Its description in RNAcentral is "partial large subunit ribosomal RNA". It matches the Rfam family "Eukaryotic large subunit ribosomal RNA", at positions 44 to 656 of the family's 3401-position model. The record is from RNAcentral. Lineage: Eukaryota; Fungi; Ascomycota; Saccharomycetes; Saccharomycetales; Saccharomycetaceae.